AGUGAACGCUGGCGGUAGGCCUAACACAUGCAAGUCGAACGGCAGCACAGUAAGAGCUUGCUCUUACGGGUGGCGAGUGGCGGACGGGUGAGGAAUACAUCGGAAUCUACUUUUUCGUGGGGGAUAACGUAGGGAAACUUACGCUAAUACCGCAUACGACCUACGGGUGAAAGCAGGGGAUCUUCGGACCUUGCGCGAUUGAAUGAGCCGAUGUCGGAUUAGCUAGUUGGCGGGGUAAAGGCCCACCAAGGCGACGAUCCGUAGCUGGUCUGAGAGGAUGGUCAGCCACACUGGAACUGAGACACGGUCCAGACUCCUACGGGAGGCAGCAGUGGGGAAUAUUGGACAAAGGGCGCAAGCCUGAUCCAGCCAUACCGCGUGGGUGAAGAAGGCCUUCGGGUUGUAAAGCCCUUUUGUUGGGAAAGAAAAGCAGCAGGUUAAUACCCCGCUGUUCCGACGGUACCCAAAGAAUAAGCACCGGCUAACUUCGUG
RNAcentral lists this ribosomal RNA (492 nucleotides) under uncultured bacterium. RNAcentral describes it as "partial 16S ribosomal RNA". It matches the Rfam family "Bacterial small subunit ribosomal RNA", at positions 29 to 507 of the family's 1533-position model. The record is from RNAcentral.